UUCCAUCUGUUACACAAGCCUCUAAUCUUCCUUUCCUUCUCCUUGUGUCUCUGUUGCCUCAAUUAUAUCAAUAAAUUCAGCGCUUGUUUCUAAAGAAAAAGGAAAAAUGGAUGCACCAGCUUAUCAAGAGAUGUCAUAUACUGAUCAUGUUAAGAGGCGCCAUGAGGAGAAAGGCUGCCUCUAUGCUUGCUUGUUUGCUCUGUGUUGCUGUUUUUGCUGCUACGAGACUUGUGAAUGUUGCUUAGAUAUUCUCUGCUGCUGCUGCUAAAACACUAGUCUGGCUUCGGUUUGCUUUUAUCAUUUGCCAUUAAUAAUUACUGCUGUUAUUGUUAUCGUCUCCUCUCAGUGACAACUGAGCCCGUAGAAGAGAGUGACUCUGUAUCUGUUCGGUAAAUAAAAUCUCAAGUCAUAACUCUCUGAAACCCGUG
This 428-nucleotide unclassified non-coding RNA is filed under the name Hevea brasiliensis (rubber tree). The record is from RNAcentral. Lineage: Eukaryota; Viridiplantae; Streptophyta; Magnoliopsida; Malpighiales; Euphorbiaceae.